Molecule: ribosomal RNA, 460 nt
Filed under: uncultured bacterium
Lineage: Bacteria
Description: partial 16S ribosomal RNA
Rfam family: Bacterial small subunit ribosomal RNA
Source: RNAcentral
CCUACUGGUGGCAGCAGUGGGGAAUCUUGCGCAAUGCUCGUAAGAGUGACGCAGCGACGCCGCGUGCAGGAAGACGGCUCUAUGAGUUGUAAACUGCUUUUGUACGAGGGUAAACGCAGAUACGCGUAUCUGUCUGAAAGUAUCGUACGAAUAAGGAUCGGCUAACUCCGUGCCAGCAGCCGCGGUAAUACGGAGGAUUCAAGCGUUUUCCGGAUUUAUUGGGUUUAAGGGGUGCGUAGGCGGUCGGAUAAGUUAGAGGUGAAAUCCCGAGGCUCAACUUCGGAAUUGCCUCUGAUACUGUUCGGCUAGAGAGUAGGUGCGGUAGGCGGAAUGUAUGGUGUAGCGGUGAAAUGCUUAGAGAUCAUACAGAACACCGAUUGCGAAGGCAGCUUACCAAGCUACUUCUGACGUUGAGGCACGAAAGCGUGGGGAGCAAACAGGAUUAGAUACCCGGGUAGUC